This 312-nucleotide ribosomal RNA is filed under the name Cricetibacter osteomyelitidis. Its description in RNAcentral is "bacterial SSU rRNA". It matches the Rfam family "Bacterial small subunit ribosomal RNA", at positions 1 to 310 of the family's 1533-position model. Lineage: Bacteria; Pseudomonadati; Pseudomonadota; Gammaproteobacteria; Pasteurellales; Pasteurellaceae. The record is from RNAcentral.
UUGAAUUGAAGAGUUUGAUCAUGGCUCAGAUUGAACGCUGGCGGCAGGCUUAACACAUGCAAGUCGAACGGUAGCAGAAAGAAAGCUUGCUUUCUUUGCUGACGAGUGGCGGACGGGUGAGUAAUGCUUGGGAAUCCGGCUUAUGGAGGGGGAUAACAACGGGAAACUGUUGCUAAUACCGCGUAAUAUCGAGAGAUUAAAGGGGGCUUUUGGCUCCUGCCAUAAGAUGAGCCCAAGUGGGAUUAGGUAGUUGGUGGGGUAAAGGCCUACCAAGCCCGCGAUCUCUAGCUGGUCUGAGAGGAUGACCAGCCA